This 1604-nucleotide ribosomal RNA is filed under the name Stenocarpella macrospora. RNAcentral's name for it is "bacterial SSU rRNA". It matches the Rfam family "Eukaryotic small subunit ribosomal RNA", at positions 75 to 1105 of the family's 1831-position model. Lineage: Eukaryota; Fungi; Ascomycota; Sordariomycetes; Diaporthales; Diaporthaceae. The record is from RNAcentral.
UAAACGGCGAAACUGCGAAUGGCUCAUUAAAUCAGUUAUCGUAUAUUUGAUAGUACCUACUACAUGGAUAACCGUGGUAAUUCUAGAGCUAAUACAUGCUUAAAAUCCCGACUUCGGAAGGGAUGUAUUUAUUAGAUUAAAAACCAAUGCCCUCCGGGGCUCACUGGUGAUUCAUAAUAACUUCUCGAAUCGCAUGGCCUUGCGCCGGCGAUGGUUCAUUCAAAUUUCUGCCCUAUCAACUUUCGACGGCUGGGUCUUGGCCAGCCGUGGUUACAACGGGUAACGGAGGGUUAGGGCUUGACCCCGGAGAAGGAGCCUGAGAAACGGCUACUACAUCCAAGGAAGGCAGCAGGCGCGCAAAUUACCCAAUCCCGACUCGGGGAGGUAGUGACAAUAAAUACUGAUACAGGGCUCUUUUGGGUCUUGUAAUCGGAAUGAGUACAAUUUAAAUCCCUUAACGAGGAACAAUUGGAGGGCAAGUCUGGUGAACACUAGUUCUGUUAUAGCUGCUAGCGCCAGAAAUAGUAGGUGGGCCGCCACGCCCUCCUGCUAGUCGAGCACCCGUCAGUCGCGGGUGGGUGCCGGCGACACAACCUGGAUCGGGGAAGGCUAAGGGCCCCGGCCUAUGCUGAUCCCGAGCGGAGCCCCUGGGGAGUGAUCCCCUGCGGGCCCGUGUAGAGCGCGCAAAGGUGUGGGCUUCUCUGUUGCACACGCGGCAGGAGGCUUAAGGGACGUGCCGUCCGCCGGGAAACCGGAUUCCUGUACCAAGCACCCGCGGUGCGAAGUACCGGACUCUCUUGCCGCAGCAGUACUGUGGCGAGGGGAGGGAGUCGAUACAAAUAGCAUGCUUACUUUUACCAAUCCUGGGGACACUCACGUUCUGACCUCGCGGGCGCGCGGACGAUGAUCUGCAGCUCAGGGGAAGGAGAGGGGGGCGAAGCUGGCAGCAGCCAUCGGCGCCCCUCGUGCCUGAGGGCGGAGUUGGGUUUCUUCUGCCUGAGCGUGAGUGGACCUGCAGACAUGCAGGCUAAACCCAAGUAUGCGGGAUCAGUAAGAUGUUGUAUUUGACGGCCAGCAGCCGCGGUAAUUCCAGCUCCAAUAGCGUAUAUUAAAGUUGUUGCAGUUAAAAAGCUCGUAGUUGAACCUUGGGCCUGGCUGGCCGGUCUGCCUCACCGCAUGCACUGGUCCGGCCGGGCCUUUCCCUCUGGGGAACCGCAUGCCCUUCACUGGGUGUGUCGGGGAACCAGGACUUUUACUGUGAAAAAAUUAGAGUGUUCAAAGCAGGCAUAUGCUCGAAUACAUUAGCAUGGAAUAAUAGAAUAGGACGUUGCGGUUCUAUUUUGUUGGUUUCUAGGACCGCCGUAAUGAUUAAUAGGGACAGUCGGGGGCAUCAGUAUUCAAUCGUCAGAGGUGAAAUUCUUGGAUCGAUUGAAGACUAACUACUGCGAAAGCAUUUGCCAAGGAUGUUUUCAUUAAUCAGGAACGAAAGUUAGGGGAUCGAAAACGAUCAGAUACCGUUGUAGUCUUAACCAUAAACUAUGCCGACUAGGGAUCGGGCGGUGUUAUUUCUUGACCCGCUCGGCACCUUACACGAAAGUAAAGUU